Molecule: non-coding RNA, 1205 nt
Organism: Hydra vulgaris (swiftwater hydra)
Lineage: Eukaryota; Metazoa; Cnidaria; Hydrozoa; Anthoathecata; Hydridae
Source: RefSeq, a predicted model, not a curated record
UAAUAGUUAUUUUUUUAUUAAUCACAAGAUAAAGUGAUUAAUAAAAAAAUAACUAUUAACCUUUAGAUAUAAUUCUAAUAGUUGAACAUCUGUCAGAUAUUUAAUUUUUAAUCAUAAUCUAAUUACUCAGGGUUAUAAAAAGCUAUUUAUAAAAAUUCAACGCUUAUAAAUAAUGUGAGAUUAAAGGUAGUUCCUGUUAUAUUUAAAAAGUACGUUGAUGAUUGGUUAGAGUCUUUAAAGUUUAAAUUAGUUAAAAGAGAGUUUAAAUUGUUCUGUUUUUAUCUUAUGCUCUAUAUCUAAAAGCUAUUGAAAUAUUUAUUGCAUUGUUUUUCAUUUAUUUUAUUACAUUAUGAAAGUUAAUAAUAUAUAAACUGAAAAUAAUACUCAUUUUAAUGAGUAAAUGAUUAACCAUUUUUACGGUAUAGUAAAAUAGUUUUUAUUUUUCAGUUAAGGAAGAAUUUUAUGUUAAUGUUGAUGCAAAAGGUAUGAAUAUUGACAGGUUAGCUAAUUUGAUUUUACAAUAAACAUGAAAUAAAGUACGUGAAGACCUUAGUGCUAGAAGUACUUGCAUGCAUUAUUUAUGCAUUCAAUAUUAUAAUAUAGCAUGCAUGCAUGAUGCAUUCAAGUAUAAAAAAAAAAGUUACAAAUGUUGUCCUACUUUACAUCUUUGAAGACUAAUAAUAAUUGUAAUGAAUAUAUCUCAAACAAUAUACACUCGGAUUUACAUUUUAGUUAAACCACUUCCACAGCCACCUUGUCUUAAGCAUUUAAUUGCAUUCUAAGAUAUCUUUAUUUAAAUCAAUUGUGACUACUAUACCAAAAGACUGUAGAAUGGUACAAUCAACUCGAAAAUUGAGUUCUAAAAUACCAUUAUUUACAUAACUACUAUAUCAAAACACUAACUAAUGGAUUGAUCAAGUAAUACUUAAUUUUUAGCUUGAGUUGCAUGUUAGUACAUAUAUGAUUUUGUGAAACUGUCGGUAUCUCCACAUCUUCCGUACAGGUGGAAAUAAGAAAGGUUAUGUUUUAAGGUUAUGUCCUUUUUUUCUAACUCUUAAGACAAAGAGGCUUAAUCGGUUCAAGCAAAGAUAACGAUGAUCAUUAUGGAGCUGAUCAUGAUGACGAAUACGAUAAUACAUAUAAUAAUAAAUAAAAUGAUUUUACUUGUAUUUUAGACUUAAAUAAAUAAAAAAUUAUCUGUUUAA